Molecule: non-coding RNA, 46 nt
Organism: Pelodiscus sinensis (Chinese soft-shelled turtle)
Lineage: Eukaryota; Metazoa; Chordata; Testudines; Trionychidae
Source: Rfam
AGACUGGUGCCUCUAGGCACCACAAUAAUACAAAUAAUAAAUAAUU